This 103-nucleotide non-coding RNA is filed under the name Clostridium intestinale. RNAcentral describes it as "Guanine sequence". It matches the Rfam family "Purine riboswitch aptamer". Rfam says of the family: Riboswitches are metabolite binding domains within certain messenger RNAs that serve as precision sensors for their corresponding targets. Allosteric rearrangement of mRNA structure is mediated by ligand binding, and this results in modulation of gene expression. A class of riboswitches that selectively recognises guanine and becomes saturated at concentrations as low as 5 nM. The record is from RNAcentral. Lineage: Bacteria; Bacillati; Bacillota; Clostridia; Eubacteriales; Clostridiaceae.
ACAAAGAGGUUAUUAUUCAUUUCGUAUAUGUUUGAUGAUAUGGUUCAAACGUUUCUACCAGGAUGCCGUAAACUGCCUGACUACGAAUGUAUAAUGGUUAUUG